RNAcentral lists this ribosomal RNA (504 nucleotides) under uncultured bacterium. RNAcentral's name for it is "partial 16S ribosomal RNA". It matches the Rfam family "Bacterial small subunit ribosomal RNA", at positions 29 to 523 of the family's 1533-position model. The record is from RNAcentral.
AUUGAACGCUGGCGGCAGGCCUAACACAUGCAAGUCGAACGGUAGCACAGAGAGCUUGCUCUCGGGUGACGAGUGGCGGACGGGUGAGUAACGUCUGGGAAACUGCCCGAUGGAGGGGGAUAACUACUGGAAACGGUAGCUAAUCCCGCAUAACGUCGCAAGACCAAAGGGGGGGACCGUCGGGCCUACCACCAUCGGAUGUGCCCAGAUGGGGUUAGCUAGUAGGUGGGGGAAUGGCUCACCUAGGCGACGAUCCCUAGCUGGGCUGAGAGGAUGACCAGCCACACUGGAACUGAGACACGGUCCAGACUCCUACGGGAGGCAGCAGUGGGGAAUAUUGCACAAUGGGCGCAAGCCUGAUGCAGCCAUGCCGCGUGUAUGAAGAAGGCCUUCGGGUUGUAAAGUACUUUCAGCGGGGAGGAAGGCGGUGAAGUUAAUAACUUCACCGAUUGACGUUACCCGCAGAAGAAGCACCGGCUAACUCCGUGCCAGCCGCCGCGGUAA